UUUUGAGAAGCAAUUGACCUCCUGUUAUUUCUCCUUCAAAAUAUAGAAGUUACUUCUUGUUGAGUUGAUUUACAAAUUACAGGGAUAUGUAGUUUGUCGAAUGGAACAGAAGUUCAUGCUGGGGUUGACAAGGUAUAUGUCAGGUUCAAGUUGGGUCUGGUCAGGUCAGGGCACCUGUACAUGUAUGGUUACAGGUUGGUCCAGUGUCUAUUGUGGUUGAAGAGUUGCCAACGGAGGUCAGUCUAUACUGCAGUGUCCAAUAAAGUGAGGCCGGUUGGGUUUAAUUACAGCAUGAGGACGUCUGAAUUUUUAGCCCUGGAAAGCUAUCAGAAUGAGUUGUAUUAGAGAUAUAUGUUGAUGUGCAGGCAGGGACGUCCUUGAAGGGGUUGUAGUAGUCGGGGCAGUGUUUGAGUCUUCAAUUUGUCCUUGGUUGUAAUAGUAGAUUCUAUGAUUCGGCAUUUGUUUUUCUUACUGGUGGGUGAGUAUAUAUAAAGUUAACCCAAAAAAACCCUCUUAUUUUGGUGUAUUGCAAGAAACUGGCAAGUAUUUUGUCAAUAGUGUGAUUCUCGUGUUCUUUUAA
This is a long non-coding RNA of Pistacia vera, 580 nucleotides long. RefSeq lists it as uncharacterized. The record is from RefSeq and is a predicted model, not a curated record. NCBI's taxonomy places the organism in Eukaryota, Viridiplantae, Streptophyta, Magnoliopsida, Sapindales, Anacardiaceae. The transcript is spliced from 2 exons.